UUGGUUCUGCUUCAGGAGGACGAGUUGGGUGCCGGAGUCACAGCAGCAGCAGGCUCCAGGGGUACAGGUGGGUGCUGGGGCACUCUGGGGACAGGUGGUGGUGUUUUAGGGGGACGAGGGCACUCCCCGUGAGCUAACUACCACAGGAAGGGGUUGGGGUUGUUGUAGGGACCUGGUCUCCUACAGCAUCACUCAAUGCAGUUGGUACUUUACACUUUUCCCUUUCUAGCUUUUUCUGUUUUAAAUUCACGUUUGGUUCCCUGGACACCUUUGCUCAGUUUUCCCAUCUCCCGGAAUUAAAGGACAGCUCUGUACAAGGACCCGGGGCCAUGCCAUAGGCAGCCCUCUCUCUGGGAGGAAUUUUUCCAGGAUUGCUGCUCUUUGGAAGAGUGCCUGGUACAUGAGUAUGGCUAUCCAUCACCUUUGGAGCCACUCAAAUGUUUCUCUUCCAACUGCACAUACCCCACUUCCCUGGGACAUACUUUGCUACUUGCCUUUUGGAUGUUUCCAUUUUCCCACUUUGGAUUUCCACCCCAAAAAAAUUAUCGUCCCACGGAGCUGGGGCCUUCACAACGCAAAUGAGGGCAGCUGCACCCAGAUGGCUGAACAAACGAUGACUUCAAUUAACUCUGCCUCCAGCACAUCGACAGAGGUGCUUUGUGCUGUACUCCUAUCAAGAGGUUAUAGCAAUGCAGUAUGUCUCUUUUACAGUCUCAUUAAGUCAUAGCUGUGCUGGAUUAAAGUCUCCAUCUUAUCAAUCAUUUUUCUAAACUGUACUAGAAGUGAACAAAAUCUGAACUGGAAGGCAAGUGUAGCACGACACUAAUUAUGGGCCAAACUUUGUGUUGCGUUUUAGCUUUUCCAAAAGCAAUGCAUGAUACACUUGGUGAUUAGAUUUUUUUCUCUUAGAUUUGGAAGGAACAAACUGCAAUUUUUUUCUGAAAUAAAAUAGUUAUACCGCAGAGAUCUUGUUAAGUAUGUCACAGUUCAAAGAUGGGAGAUAUAGUGGUGUAUUAUCCUUCUUUUGCAGCUGCAAUACUGAAUUGCAUCUCUGGAGAAGCAGGGAUGUAUCAGGUGUGGGUUGAUCUCUGUGCUCAAAUAUUACCUUUGGAAAGUGUUUUGUUUACAGAAGCCAGCAUGCCACAGUGCUUGGGAACAGCCCCAGCAAUGCCAUUACACUUAAUGCUGUGCUCCAAGCUGAGGUAGCAGGGAUGUAACCGGACUCGUGUGAGGCAGCACGGGGAUAUCUGCAGGAGAGCACGGCUGGCCAGAGGUUUGUCUUUGCCUUCCCCAGAAGGAAGAUGGAGAUGGGCAGGAGCUGGAGGUAGGAGAGAGGACAGCGUGGCUGCUGCCCUAAAGCUGGACAGAAACCCCUCACGGGCACCUGGGCCAUGUGUCUGAAUUCCUCUGGGAUCUGUCUGAGGACAGUCAGCUGAGGGGAAAUGGAGUGCAGUCCUCAAUUUCCUUUCCAGCACAAACUGUAGGACUGCUGUUGGGAUUGUUUGCACGUACCCCACUGUAAAAAAUGACCCUGACCUCUAGUCAGCUGCAUAAAAGCCUAUCUUAAAUAAGGAAACCGUGUAUUUAUUGUAAGAAUUGAAGUCGCUGUGGUAAAAGAAGGAGAAAAGGCAUGCAUUAUUAAGUGCAGCAAAGCUUUUUUUUUUUAAAGUGUUUUCUUAAAAGCAAGAAUACUAUCUAUGGUAUUGUUACUAGAUUACUAGAUAGGAGCAACAUAGCUGUUAGUCACAGGGGGCAAAGGCAGGAGCAUUAAACAAAUUUGUUCUGAAAAUAAGCAAUGAACUAACUAAGGGCUCUUAAAGUUGCCUGAACGAGCUCUAGCCUACCUGGAGAGCCCCAGAGGUAUAGAACUAAAUUUCGCAUCCAUCCAUCCAAGGCAUGGUAGGGGAAUGGCAAAACUUUCAACCCAUGAAUUACAAAAGGCCAGUACAGCUGCUGCUGGUCUAUAUGGCUUUCUACAAGAUAGAAAUUAUCAGCCACACUUUACCCUUGAUACAAUGUGCAUUUUGUUGUUGUUUAACAUGGAAAAUUUAUUUAAGGAUAAAGAAAGCAGGCUAUACCUACAGGCUCUUAAACUGUCUGCAGAACCCCAGUUCUGACAGGGCUUCUACGUCAUGGCAAUUUAAUCAGCAGAAGGUAAGACAUCGGGACCAAAGGAACAAAUAAGCAUUUGUUCUUUUUUUUUGUUCAAAAUACACCCAUGCACUUUUUAAACAGAGGAAUACAGAUUUAUGUGUCAGUGAGGUUGUGUUGUCUCUGUGUUCACUUUAGUGAGGCUGCUACUGGAACACUGUGUUCAGCUCUAGCAUCCCGAAUUUAAGAAGAUGAUGCUAAUGAUUUGGCAAAGAUUCAAAUAAGCGCUAUGAACACAGUUACACUAUGAAAAUGUCUUCCGGUUAAUUGCAAGAAAGUCCAAGGCUCAGAGCUUGCAAGUCUCAUUCAUAAAAUGGGAAUUGGUAAUGCAGAGCCUGCCACUGUGGAAAAAAAUGUAAGAAAGAAAUCUGAGUGACAUGAGAUAUAUUCAGACAAAAACUGUAAUUUCUGAACACCAAGGAUAACUAGCCAUUGGAACUGUUGUGCUGAAUGUCCAUAGAUAGGAAAAAAAUUAAACUCAAUACUUAAUAUUUUUCUAGACAUGAUCUAAUUAAAAAAUCCAGAAGCAUGGAUUAUGGAUUGGUAUCUUCUGGAGAAGACAAAGAACCGUAUUUUGUUUGAAAUAGGUAAAAUUUGUCACUGCUUCCUUCUGCUCCCCAAGCAAUCCUUGCGUGGGUAACUUCUCCAAGGUAUUGGUAGCGGAGGCAACUCUUCAGGAGAUUGAUGGCCAUGGGGGAUAUUACAAGCACAAAUGAACUCUUCUGAUUAAGUGAGGGACCCACUGAGCGCUUUGCUUCGGGGCUUCGUUCUUCAGCGAGGUGGCAGGAAACAAACAGGAGCAUCCAGUUGUCUGUGCCCAGGUAUGUCCUAAAAGGGGGUUUGCAGCUAUAGGAUGAGGGAGUGGUUUUCUUCCUAGCGCCACCCUUUAUGAACUGGGAAGGUCCCUGGGCUGAGUGCAGGGUUGCUGGGGUACAGGGCGUGAGUGGCUCAUUGACUCCGGAGUUGUUUCGGUCAUGGCACUCAGGAGCUGAAGCUGUGCCAAGUGCCUCGCCAGGCCUCACACUUCCUCUCCCUUCCACAGGCGUUACAGCACAAGCUCAGAAUAUUUUCCCCAAAGCCUGCUUUUAAUUAAUGUAUGCAGUUUUGUUGUCUGUCCAGGAUAUGGCAAAUGUUAGGUGUCAUUAGCUAAUACCUGCUGUGCUCCAUUUCCCGACGAUGCUGUAUUUUUUUCUAAAGCAAUUCAUUUCUCGCUUUGAGAAUAUCCUGUGGACAUGCUUUGUUCAAAUUCAAGAUGUUAUUUGUGUGCAAAAAUGGUCACGGUGUACCAUUUGAAAAGGAGCUAAUGUGAUAGCAAACAAAUGGAGUGUGUAAAAAACAAAAUUACUUAAGAUGCUGUGUGAUUUCCUCUUCUCUAAUACAGCAUGAAAAUGCCAAGGAGAUUUGUGCCCAGUGGAAAUCAGCAGGCUGGAAUUAGGCAAUAUUUACUGACAGGGAUUAAUCCUCAUACAGGUGGUGUGGAGUGAGGCUGGUUAGGCUGUGGGGCAAAUGAAAUUUCCCUGCAAACGAACCAGUGUCAGCCCAGUCCUAACCAGGCAGGGAAGGGGGUGUUUAGCGAAUGACAACAUUGCAUAAACUCAUCUGGUAGGAGGAGUGCCAACUAAUGUCAGCAAUCCUUUUCCAUCUCGAACACAUACUUUUUGGUACGUAGACUUUAUAUUUGGCAAAGGGGAAAGGAGAUGUAGGCGUCAUUAAUAAUGAAGAGAUUUUAAUGAAAGUUUGAAUGGAUUUGUGAGCCACUGAACGUGUAUUCAGAGCACUUUGAGUGGCAGUUCCAUUACACACACAAAUGCCCUAAUUGGCAAUCGGAUCUGAGAGCACUGCGCUUGCUGUCAAGCAGCCACCAGCCUUCUGGGGAGAUGUGGCUGAUGCUGGCGGAGUGAAUUAAAGAAAACUGCUUCUUCCUCCACGUCCUGAGAUUGCUGGUUAUAAUUCAGUUUGUUCUCUUUGUUUGAAAACCUUUGAGUAGUUCUUACGUGCAGUUAAUAUUUACAGCGUGACGGGCAUUUCUCAUUCCUGUAGCUUCAGCAGUGCACAGCAGCAAACGGAGUGGUGGAGUUUCCUAAGGCAGCAAGGGAGAGGAGCAGGUCCAGCUCGUUGUGAAUGCAGCAGCAUCCUGUAGGGAAUAUAUUCUUAAGUUAAGAGUAAAAGUCACAGGUAAAAGAGUUUUUAUAUCUUCCCAACAGAGACUGUUCCACAGCCUGAUAUCUCCCAUGCUCAAAAGUUUCCUGCAAGCCAGAGAAAUAACUCUAUUCCAUUUGGCCUCCUCCAGCAUAGCCUUUUUUUUUUUUUCCUGUUUGUUUGUAUUCGUAGAGCUGAGCUCCAAAGCAUUUUCUAUCAGCUUAUCCUUUAGAGUUGUAUCGCAAAUUCUGCAUUCUUGUUUCCAGUUCUUUGUUGAAGAUUGCAUUUAUUUAUUUAUUAACAUGAGGUGGGGAUAAUAUGCUUUAACUCUUGGUUAGCCCUGAAGAGGUCAGGCAGUUGAACUGGAUGAUCUUUGAAAGUACUUUCCAACAGGGCUGUUCUGUUCCAUUUUAUUCCAUUCUGUUCCAUAGUUGAAAAAUGAGAAGAAAAGGAAAAAAUCAUUUGUUACCUGGAGGAACUUGAGAAAAGGAAAUUUUUUCCUUAUAUCUGGUCUGAACCUCCCCUGGAGCAGCUUUGUGCUGUUCCCUCACAUCCUGCCAACUGUUACCAGGGAGAAGAGACCGGCACCUCUCUUUUAUCACCUUUGUUGCCCUCCUCUGGAUGCUUUCAAGGACCUUACCAUCCUUUUGAUAUUGUGGAGCCCAGAACCACACACAGUACUCAAGGUGAGGCCACAGCAGUGCUGAAUAUAGCGGCCAGCCGGCUGUGCCAUGUUUAAUGCACCCCAAAAUGCAGUUUGCCCUCCUGGCUGCCCUCAUGGUGCUGCCUCACGUGGAGCUGCUGCUGACGUGGAUGUCCCGGCUGCCAGCACUGAUGGUCGUGUACCCAAGCAGAGCCGGGGCUGCCAGCUGUUAUUUAUUGCACGGUAUGUCCACAAACGAGGCACACAGCAACACUGAGCUUUUCUGUGCGUGUACAUUUUCCUUUUGCAUUUCCUACAUUGUAAAAUAAUUCCUGAGGCUGUUUUAGGCACUGCGGGCCAGCCCUCGUGCUCCUGGCACAGGGCAGAAGCCAGACCCCGCUGGGAGCCGGGCAGUGGCUCCAUAGCAGCGCUGCUCCUGCAUGGCCCUGCUGGCGUUCCGAAAUGGAGGCAAGCAGGGGGAAAAUCCUAACCUGAUUGUGCAGGAAUAAAGGACAUAAAAGUGA
Non-coding RNA from Anas platyrhynchos (mallard), 5457 nucleotides. Lineage: Eukaryota; Metazoa; Chordata; Aves; Anseriformes; Anatidae. The record is from RefSeq and is a predicted model, not a curated record.